AACGCGAAGAACCUUACCUGGGCUCGAAAUGCAGGAGACCGGGGUAGAAAUAUCCCUUCCUCGCAAGAGGCUGCUGUAUAGGUGCUGCAUGGCUGUCGUCAGCUCGUGUCGUGAGAUGUUGGGUUAAGUCCCGCAACGAGCGCAACCCUCAUCCCUAGUUGCCACCGGGUAAUGCCGAGCACUCUAGUGAAACCGCCCCGGAUAACGGGGAGGAAGGUGGGGAUGACGUCAAGUCCUCAUGGCCUUUAUGUCCAGGGCUACACACGUGCUACAAUGGUCGGUACAAACCGUCGCAAAGCUGCAAAGUGGAGCUAAUCGGAAAAAGCCGUUCUCAGUUCGGAUUGCAGGCUGCAACUCGCCUGCAUGAAGCUGGAAUCGCUAGUAAUGGCAGAUCAGCACGCCGCCGUGAAUACGUUCCCGGGCCUUGUACACACCGAUAGC
This 441-nucleotide ribosomal RNA is filed under the name uncultured bacterium. Its description in RNAcentral is "bacterial SSU rRNA". It matches the Rfam family "Bacterial small subunit ribosomal RNA", at positions 958 to 1397 of the family's 1533-position model. The record is from RNAcentral.